UCAAAUGAAAAAGUCAACUCUGGGGUGUUC
RNAcentral lists this non-coding RNA (30 nucleotides) under Mus musculus (house mouse). The record is from RNAcentral. Lineage: Eukaryota; Metazoa; Chordata; Mammalia; Rodentia; Muridae.